ACAAAUAUAUGCUGUAAUUAGGUGGUGUUGCAGGAAAAAAGAAAGUAAGAGGAAAUGCUUGUUGGAGGUGUGGGGGAUUUCUGUUUUAUCUGGGAUAGCCAACAUUACAGAUUGGUUACUGUUUGAGCAGAGCCAUGAAGGAAGCAUGAUUGAAGCAGAGAGGCAAAAGAGGUUGUAAGGCAGAGGGAAUGGAAGGGAAAAGCCCUUGCUUGCGGGGAGGGAAGAGAGGAGAGGGUAAGUGCUGAGGUCAGUGAUGACCCCAUAUUUUAUAGUUAGGACCAACCUUUGGCUUUUCCACUGAGUAAGAUGAAGACACUGGAUGGUGAUCAGAGGAUAUAUGAUUCAGUGUAAAAUUUCUAUAGUGGCUCUGGUUUCUUUGAGAGAGGCAAUAGCAGACCUUCCAGUUAGGCCAGAAGAUGUUGUACCAGCCUAUAUGUGAGAAGAGCAAUACAGCUGGGUACAUGUGGGCAUGGAGAGACCAUGAGAAAUGAUAGGCCAUGACCCUGGGGUUUUGGACACAUGAAGUUUGAAAUUCAUUAGACAUUCAGUAGGGAAUGGGGAGUGGAAUAUAUAUAUAUAUAUAUAUACAUACAUACAUACAUACAUACAUACACACACACACACACACACAGUUUGAGAGUUCAGGAGAAAGGUCUGGGAUGGGAGAUAUAAAUAUGAGUUAUAUAUACAUGGUGAUAGUAAUUAGAGCCAUGAACCUGGAUGAGAUCAAAGGGCUAAAGAUGAAAAAGAUUGUGAGGACAGAGCCCUGGUUGUUCCACUAUAUAAAAAUUGGCAAAUGUGGGAGAAAAUGUUGGCAAAUGAAGAUGGACUUGAGAAGGAGCUCUAGAGAGAGUGGCCAGUGAGGCAGAAGGAAGUCCAGAAGACAGGUACCCUAGAAACCAAUGAAAAUAAAUUUGAGAAAGGAUUGAUCAGUGAGUCAGAAACAGUUAAUGAAUUGUAGAAGAUGAGUACUGAAAGAAGACUAACAAUGUAGAGGUUGUUAACCUUGUCAAGAAAUAAUUCUGUAUUCUGGUGGAGCAAAACCUGAUUAGAGUGGUUCAUGAAAGAGCAGGAGAGAAAUGGACACACUUGUACAUGUAAUUUUUUUUAAAAAUAUUUUUGCUGAAAACCAAAGCAGAGAAAGAAGGGUCACACGUUGAGGAGUCUGUAGGAUGAAAUUUAGGGAUAAUUUUCUCCUAAAUUCUCAUUUGAAAAUAUUGAAACAUAGAAAAAUGAAAGAGUAGUAUAUAUAUAUUCACUUCCUAGAUAAGUUUAAUAUUUUGCCAUAUUUUGUAUGUAAAUGUGUAUGUGUUGUUUUGAAUUAUUUUGAAGUUGAAAAUUAUAAGCAUCAUCAUGGCAUUUUUAUCCUUCAGUAUUAUGGUGUGUAUCUCCUAACAAUAGAUAUUUUGAUAUAAAAUCAUUUAGCAAAUUUAAGAAAAUUGUAGUAAUUCCCAAAUAUUAUUUGAUAUUUAGUCCAUACUCAAUUUUCCCAUUUGUUCCUGAUGUAUUUGGUUUCAAAUGUUUGUUUGUUUUUUUUGAACCAGGAUCCAGCCAAGAUUCACACAUUGCAUUUGAUUGUUAUGUCUUACUAAUGUUUUAAAGCCAAGAACCAUUUCUCCAGUUUUCAUGACAUUGACUUUUGAAGAGACCAGGCUAGUUGUCUUAUCCCAUGAUAUGAAUUUGUUUGUUUCCUUGUGGUGUUUCCUUAUUUGUUUCAAAGAAAAGAUUUGAAGUAAUAUAGUGUGUCUGUAAGCUGAUGGGAAAGAUCUGGUCUCUGCAUGUGUUGCAUAUUGUAGACUUUGAAAACUUUUAAUAUGGUGGGGCUAAAAUGUUUACAUUGGGAGAUUUUAUGGAGAAAAGAUUAUUUCAUUGAUGUCUUUCUCCAGAAAAUAACACUUUAAAGAGUAUUCUGUGGGUAAUCAAUGAUUGAUAUGGACAAUUUUUUUUAAGUUGUUUAUGCAUCUUUAUUUUAUUUAUUUGUAUAUGGUGUUGAGAAUUGAACCCAGUGCUUCACACAUGCUAGGCAAGUGCUCUACCACUGAGCUACAACCCAGUUGUUUCAGUGUAAAUGUUUUCUGUUUCUUGAAAAGGGGAAGGGAAGGAAAAUUUGUUUUUCUUAAGUGCCUACAUAGUUUCACUUCUCUUUUUCUUACUAGUGGGAAAGGGCUUUUUUAAGAUUUGACUAUGAAACAAAGCACUUAAACUUUGCUUGAAUGGGUAUGAUCUUCUUACCAGUCAUUUUACAGUAUUA
This 2251-nucleotide long non-coding RNA is filed under the name Marmota monax (woodchuck). The record is from RNAcentral. Lineage: Eukaryota; Metazoa; Chordata; Mammalia; Rodentia; Sciuridae.